AAACCAACCGGGAUUGCCUUAGUAACGGCGAGUGAAGCGGCAAAAGCUCAAAUUUGAAAUCUGGUACCUUCGGUGCCCGAGUUGUAAUUUGGAGAGGGCAACUUUGGGGCCGUUCCUUGUCUAUGUUCCUUGGAACAGGACGUCAUAGAGGGUGAGAAUCCCGUGUGGCGAGGAGUGCGGUUCUUUGUAAAGUGCCUUCGAAGAGUCGAGUUGUUUGGGAAUGCAGCUCUAAGUGGGUGGUAAAUUCCAUCUAAAGCUAAAUAUUGGCGAGAGACCGAUAGCGAACAAGUACAGUGAUGGAAAGAUGAAAAGAACUUUGAAAAGAGAGUGAAAAAGUACGUGAAAUUGUUGAAAGGGAAGGGCAUUUGAUCAGACAUGGUGUUUUGUGCCCUCUGCUCCUUGUGGGUAGGGGAAUCUCGCAUUUCACUGGGCCAGCAUCAGUUUUGGUGGCAGGAUAAAUCCAUAGGAAUGUAGCUUGCCUCGGUAAGUAUUAUAGCCUGUGGGAAUACUGCCAGCUGGGACUGAGGACUGCGACGUAAGUCAAGGAUGCUGGCAUAAUGGUUAU
RNAcentral lists this ribosomal RNA (565 nucleotides) under Saccharomyces cerevisiae (brewer's yeast). Its description in RNAcentral is "partial large subunit ribosomal RNA". It matches the Rfam family "Eukaryotic large subunit ribosomal RNA", at positions 62 to 641 of the family's 3401-position model. Lineage: Eukaryota; Fungi; Ascomycota; Saccharomycetes; Saccharomycetales; Saccharomycetaceae. The record is from RNAcentral.